ACUUCAGGACGGGGACAACAGUUGGAAACGACUGCUAAUACCCGAUGUGCCGGGAGGUGAAACCUAAUUGGCCUGAAGAAGAGCUUGCGUCUGAUUAGCUAGUUGGUGGGGUAAGAGCCUACCAAGGCGACGAUCAGUAGCUGGUCUGAGAGGAUGAGCAGCCACACUGGGACUGAGACACGGCCCAGACUCCUACGGGAGGCAGCAGUGGGGAAUUUUCCGCAAUGGGCGAAAGCCUGACGGAGCAACGCCGCGUGAGGGAGGAAGGUCUUUGGAUUGUAAACCUCUUUUCUCAAGGAAGAAGUUCUGACGGUACUUGAGGAAUCAGCCUCGGCUAACUCCGUGCCAGCAGCCGCGGUAAUACGGGGGAGGCAAGCGUUAUCCGGAAUUAUUGGGCGUAAAGCGUCCGCAGGUGGUCAGCCAAGUCUGCUGUCAAAUCAGGUUGCUUAACGACCUA
RNAcentral lists this ribosomal RNA (457 nucleotides) under Microcystis sp. LMM9508-2. Its description in RNAcentral is "bacterial SSU rRNA". It matches the Rfam family "Bacterial small subunit ribosomal RNA", at positions 129 to 619 of the family's 1533-position model. RNAcentral also lists the same sequence under 4 other names. Lineage: Bacteria; Bacillati; Cyanobacteriota; Cyanophyceae; Chroococcales; Microcystaceae. The record is from RNAcentral.